GAUGAACGCUGGCGGCGUGCCUAAUACAUGCAAGUCGAGCGAACGGACGAGAAGCUUGCUUCUCUGAUGUUAGCGGCGGACGGGUGAGUAACACGUGGAUAACCUACCUAUAAGACUGGGAUAACUUCGGGAAACCGGAGCUAAUACCGGAUGAUAUUUUGAACCGCAUGGUUCAAAAGUGAAAGACGGUCAUGCUGUCACUUAUAGAUGGAUCCGCGCUGCAUUAGCUAGUUGGUAAGGUAACGGCUUACCAAGGCAACGAUGCAUAGCCGACCUGAGAGGGUGAUCGGCCACACUGGAACUGAGACACGGUCCAGACUCCUACGGGAGGCAGCAGUAGGGAAUCUUCCGCAAUGGGCGAAAGCCUGACGGAGCAACGCCGCGUGAGUGAUGAAGGUCUUCGGAUCGUAAAACUCUGUUAUUAGGGAAGAACAUAUGUGUAAGUAACUGUGCACAUCUUGACGGUACCUAAUCAGAAAGCCACGGCUAACUACGUG
This 497-nucleotide ribosomal RNA is filed under the name uncultured bacterium. Its description in RNAcentral is "partial 16S ribosomal RNA". It matches the Rfam family "Bacterial small subunit ribosomal RNA", at positions 28 to 507 of the family's 1533-position model. The record is from RNAcentral.